RNAcentral lists this ribosomal RNA (478 nucleotides) under uncultured Granulicatella sp. RNAcentral's name for it is "bacterial SSU rRNA". It matches the Rfam family "Bacterial small subunit ribosomal RNA", at positions 53 to 510 of the family's 1533-position model. Lineage: Bacteria; Bacillati; Bacillota; Bacilli; Lactobacillales; Carnobacteriaceae. The record is from RNAcentral.
ACAUGCAGUCGAACGAGAGUGACCGGUGCUUGCACUGGUCAAUCUAGUGGCGAACGGGUGAGUAACACGUGGGUAACCUGCCCAUCAGAGGGGGAUAACAUUCGGAAACGGAUGCUAAAACCGCAUAGGUCUUCGAACCGCAUGGUUUGAAGAGGAAAAGAGGCGCAAGCUUCUGCUGAUGGAUGGACCCGCGGUGCAUUAGCUAGUUGGUGAGGUAACGGCUCACCAAGGCCGUGAUGCCAAAUAGCCGACCUGAGAGGGUGAUCGGCCACAUUGGGACUGAGACACGGCCCAAACUCCUACGGGAGGCAGCAGUAGGGAAUCUUCCGCAAUGGACGCAAGUCUGACGGAGCAACGCCGCGUGAGUGAAGAAGGUUUUCGGAUCGUAAAACUCUGUUGUUAGAGAAGAACAAGUGCUAGAGUAACUGUUAGCGCCUUGACGGUAUCUAACCAGAAAGCCACGGCUAACUACGUGCCA